CUCUUAUUGGAUGAUGACGGUCACAUAUCAUGAUCUGAUUGGAUGUCAACUCUAUGGAAGAUGAAAUGUAUUGUAGUUGUCAUUGGUCAAUUAGAAUAGAACACGUGGUUGUCAUAAUCCAAUAAGAACGUGACACGUGACAGUCAACAUUU
Molecule: non-coding RNA, 152 nt
Organism: Glycine soja
Lineage: Eukaryota; Viridiplantae; Streptophyta; Magnoliopsida; Fabales; Fabaceae
Source: Rfam